GGGUUCGUAGCUCAGCUGGUAGAGCAAUUGACUCUUAAUCAAUGGGCCCAGGGUUCGAAUCCCUGCGAACCCA
RNAcentral lists this transfer RNA (73 nucleotides) under Bacteroidia bacterium. Its description in RNAcentral is "tRNA-Lys". It matches the Rfam family "tRNA". From Rfam's summary of the family: Transfer RNA (tRNA) molecules are approximately 80 nucleotides in length. Their secondary structure includes four short double-helical elements and three loops (D, anti-codon, and T loops). Lineage: Bacteria; Pseudomonadati; Bacteroidota; Bacteroidia. The record is from RNAcentral.